This 86-nucleotide transfer RNA is filed under the name Pygmaiobacter massiliensis. It matches the Rfam family "tRNA". Rfam says of the family: Transfer RNA (tRNA) molecules are approximately 80 nucleotides in length. Their secondary structure includes four short double-helical elements and three loops (D, anti-codon, and T loops). Lineage: Bacteria; Bacillati; Bacillota; Clostridia; Eubacteriales; Oscillospiraceae. The record is from RNAcentral.
GAGAGAUGGCUGAGCUGGUCGAAGGCGCACGAUUGGAAAUCGUGUUCACUGGAAACAGUGACAAGGGUUCGAAUCCCUUUCUCUCC